Molecule: long non-coding RNA, 2130 nt
Organism: Macaca fascicularis (crab-eating macaque)
Lineage: Eukaryota; Metazoa; Chordata; Mammalia; Primates; Cercopithecidae
Source: Ensembl
ACUUCCUGGUUUCUACCCAGCCAGCGCGAAGACAGAACCGAAGGAGACUGGGGGCGAAGGCGAGAGGGGUCUGUGGAAGAGACCGCUCGGCGGAGAGCGGUCCACCUUUUCCUGGAGAAAGACGAGGUCCCAGGGCAGGAGCCCGGGCGGCGCCGGGCCUUUACUUCGUCACCAGCGGGCGGGGAGACCGGCCUCGUACCCGCCGGACGAGGGGCCCAUUCCGAGUCAGGGAAGCCGAAGGCCUGGAGGCGCUUCCGGGAGCAGGGAGGGAGGCGGCGCGUGGAUGGCGAGGGCCCGGCAAGGAUUCUCCCCAGCCCCUGUGCCUGCGUCUCCUGUGGCUUCUGUGCACGGACCGUGUCCUGUGCUGUGCAGGGAAAGCUGCCUCUCUGCUCGGGACGUGGAUUCCUUUCACCUCCUCCUCGCCUGGCUACUCCUGACGCAGGUUGUCAGGACUCCGCUUGGUGUCACCCGUCCAGGAAGCCUCCCUUAAUUAAGGGCCCUGGGCACUCACCCCAUACGUGACGAGCAGCCCUCCUAUGUAUUUCGUCGCACCCCCGUUGUUUAUAUCAACUAUUCCACUCACCACCCUUCUGGGCAAUCCUUUAUCUCCCCCUCUGAAAUCCCAUCACUGAGGGCUGGGACCCCUCCCAGUACUUAUCCCGUUUGCCGGCGCUAGUCUGGUGCCUGGCGUGUGGAAGGCGCUCAGUAAACGUUUGUGGAGCGAAGAAACGACGCAAACGUGAUGAGCACGACAGCCCGAAACAGAGAAGACGCAGUUAGGAGGUUACUGGCCCCGCGCGGGGGUAAAGGGGGAAGGUCGGGCUCGGGGUGGCAGGACACCAGAGGGCACGGGUGACUGCCGGGGUGCUCUUGCGGGAGGACGGGCGUCAAGGCCCCCGGCAAGGUUGCGAUAAAGUUUCUCUCCGAGGCACAGACUGCCGCCUGCGGGGUCAGCAUUUACCUCUCCCUUCCUCCUUCCUAACCCAACUUCGGCGGAGAGCUGAGGGCUGAGGGCUUUAGGCGCAUUACCUCCAACAUUUAUUUCACUCGACGGCCGAAGGCCGUAAGAGGUGGGCCUUAUCAUUAGGCAUGGGUUAGGGUGAGGCCACUCCUCCAGGGCGAAUUUCAGGGGUGCCCCCCGCCCCAAACCCUUCGGCAAUCAACACAAACUAUAGUUCAAUGCAAUAUAUCUUACCUUGUGGGCGGCAAGCCACCCAGGGGCCGAGGCAAGAGACUGAAGGCACAAGCUGUUACAGUAUAAUAAAGAAAAUAAUCAGAAUAAGAAAAGUUAUACCAGAAGUAGGAUACAGAUAUGAUUAUAUAUGACUAUUACUAAUCAUUAGUUUGCAGCAUUACUCUUUGUUCUACUACUGUAAGAAUCUCUGUUCUGUUGUUUUAACCUAGGGAAAACCGGGCCAUAGAGAGUUAGCAGCUGGAGGGACACGGUGAGAGGUGACCAGAAGACAAGCGUGUGAGCCCUCGGUCACGCCCGGAUAAGGGCCGCUCGAGGGCUCCUUGGUCUAGCGGUAACGCCAGUGCCUGGGAAGGCCCUCCUUACUUAACAGACCUUGGUCUAGCGGUAACGCCAGUGCCCGGGAGGGCACCCGUUACUUAGCACACCGGGAAAGGGAAUCUCCCUUUCUCCAGGGGAGAUGGAGAACACUCUGCUCCGGCACCUCUUGUGGGAGGCCUGACAUUAGCCAGGCCCGCCCUCAGUCGUCCGGAGGCUGGACCGUCUCCCUGUGAUGCUGUGCUUCAUUCAGUGGUCACGCUCCUUGUUCACUUUCCACGUUCGCCUGUACACCUGGCUCCUCCUUUUAAGUUCUUAGAAGAUAGCAGUAGCAGAAUUAGUAAAAGUACUAAAGUCUUUGAUCCUUCUGAUAAGUGCGUAGAAGAAAUGCUGACCUAUGCCGUCCUCCCUCUCCGCCUCGGCUGUCACAAAGGGAAAGACCCCCUGUCCAGUGGACACGUGACUCGCGUGACCUCUCAAUCAUUUGAGAUGACUCACACCCCUUACCCUGCCCCCUUGCCUCGAAUACAAUUAAUAGCAGCCCGUCCAGGCAUUCGGGGCCACUACCGGUCUCCGCGCUUGGUGGCAGUGGUCCCCCGGGCCCAGCUGUCUUUCAUCCU